GUGUGAGUGCGUGUGUGAAUGGGUGAAUGACUGAAUGUAGUGUAAAGCGCUUUGGGGUCCUUAGGGACUGAGUAAAGCGCUAUACAAAUGCAGGCCAUUUACCAUUUGCAGGCCAUAGCAAAGGACUAGCAACGAUGUGGCAAACAGAGAAAGGAAAAUAUGUCUACUUGCUAACAGAUGAAAUAGCUGAAAAAGAUCUAAACGAAAAUCAGCUGAGGUAAGUGACUGAAGUGAACAAGUAUUGCAAAGCCAUAGUUUCGUGUGAAUUACUAUGUAUUUGGACUGGACUGAAGUGAAUAGGGAGAGAAAAAGUGAUAGAAAUUGUAUGACUAUAUGUGAAAUUUUCAGUCACUAAUAUUGUUAUUACCAGUUGUUAAGAAUAUCAAAAAUUACAAAAGUGAUUUUUAUUUGAAGUAGCCAAAAAUGCUGAAAUACACUUCGCCCACAAGCCUGGUAUUCAGAUGAAAAGGAGACUACCUUGUUAGUUACUGUGUGAAGUCUAUAUUGUUUAAAAUAUACAGUAUAGCAUGACAGGUAUUUUUUUUUUUUUUUUUUUUAAGAUUUUAAGCUAUAUAGCUAAUUAGCUAACUAUUUAGCAAAUUUUGCUGGCUAACUUAACAAAACUUGUUUUGUUUGUAGAUAAGUGAAAUAUGUGUUCCAUUAGUUUUUUCUGUCACAGGGGCACCAGACUUCCCUGAUCCUGGCCACCUCUUCCAACUCAUCCCUGAGGAUUUCCUGGCCAGCCAGGAGGUAUAACCUCCCCAGCCAGUCCUGGGUCUGCCCCAGGCCUCCUCCUGGUAGGACUAGUAUCAGUGCUCAAAAGACCUCGCCCACGAGUGUCCAACUACGUCAUAGUCAGAUGCUUGAACCACCUCAACUGGCGCAGUAGCUAUACUGCGAGUCCCUCUCAAAUGACCAUGACCCUGUCUCAUGGAGACUCAGGCAUCCUUCAAAGGAAACUCAUUUUCGCCACUUUCAUCUGUGACUUCAUUCUUUCGGAAAUCUUCAGAGCUCGUGAAUGUAGGUAAGGGUAGAAACAUAGAUUGACCAAAUCAAUAGCUUUACAUUUACACUCACCUUUUCCUCCCCACAAGAGAUUAAUACUGCCCCAGUCCAUCUAACAUCUCAUACGGAAGAGGAUUCUCAGAAAAAAGUCAGAAUUAUGGCUUUAAUCUCAGAAUUCUGACUUUUUCCUCAGAAUAAUUUUUUCUCAGA
Long non-coding RNA from Astatotilapia calliptera (eastern happy), 1215 nucleotides. The record is from Ensembl. Lineage: Eukaryota; Metazoa; Chordata; Actinopteri; Cichliformes; Cichlidae.